GUCCCUACGGGGCGCAGCAGUGGGGGAUAUUGCACAAUGGGGGAAACCCUGAUGCAGCGACGCCGCGUGAGUGAAGAAGUAUUUCGGUAUGUAAAGCUCUAUCGGCAGGGAAGAAAAAGCGCGCGAGCGCCCUUGACAGUACCUGACUAGGAAGCCCCGGCUAACUACGUGCCAGCAGCCGCGGUAAUACGUAGGGGGCAAGCGUUAUCCGGAUUUACUGGGUGUAAAGGGAGCGUAGACGGCAGCACAAGUCUGGAGUGAAAUCCCGGGGCUUAACCCCGGAACUGCUUUGGAA
Molecule: ribosomal RNA, 295 nt
Filed under: uncultured bacterium
Lineage: Bacteria
Description: partial 16S ribosomal RNA
Rfam family: Bacterial small subunit ribosomal RNA
Source: RNAcentral